RNAcentral lists this ribosomal RNA (253 nucleotides) under uncultured bacterium. RNAcentral describes it as "partial 16S ribosomal RNA". It matches the Rfam family "Bacterial small subunit ribosomal RNA", at positions 524 to 776 of the family's 1533-position model. The record is from RNAcentral.
UACGAAGGGGGCUAGCGUUGCUCGGAAUUACUGGGCGUAAAGGGCGCGUAGGCGGAUAUUUAAGUCGGGGGUGAAAGCCCAGGGCUCAACCCUGGAACUGCCUUCGAUACUGGAUAUCUAGAGUAUGGGAGAGGUGUCUGGAACUCCGAGUGUAGAGGUGAAAUUCGUAGAUAUUCGGAAGAACACCAGUGGCGAAGGCGACACACUGGCCCAUUACUGACGCUGAGGCUCGAAAGCGUGGGGAGCAAACAGG